Molecule: microRNA precursor, 78 nt
Filed under: Schistosoma margrebowiei
Lineage: Eukaryota; Metazoa; Platyhelminthes; Trematoda; Strigeidida; Schistosomatidae
Description: mir-3492 microRNA precursor family
Rfam family: mir-3492 microRNA precursor family (bases 10-69)
Source: Rfam by way of RNAcentral
AACCGUCUGUAUCCGUGCUGAGAUUUCGUCACACACUAUACCACAAUGGCUGAUGAGACUCUCAGGAUAUUAUCUCUA